ACCAAAAAUAUGAACAUGGUGUCCUUUUGCAAUUUUAACCUGAAAUUGUGAUAAAAUUGCUAGAUGAUCUAAAAUUACUACUUCGUUUACAAAAACAUUCUUUAAAUAAUUUUUCGAGUGAAUUUUUAAAAAUUUUAAAAUUUAUCUUUACACGUCAUAUUUAAUUCAUCCAAUGUCGUGCAAUAGCAGCAAAACCAAUACCAACCGGUCCGACCCUGCGACUCCGGUCCGGUUCACCACCGACGCCGCCGCUAAUUUGAUGUGAGCAACAGCCACCAUUUAAACGAUGACGUUCUAUUGGCCUCGUUUUCUUAUGCUUCGCCGUCAUCCUCAACGACACCGGCGGUGUUGGUGCCCUGCGCUUUGCUUUCACCGCAGAAGUAUUGCACUUGUAUUCUUGGAAGAAUCUUACCUCAAAAGUUUGCACAUCGUUGAGCAGCCGGUCAACCAUGGAGACAUGCCUACACAGAUCAAUGCACUCUUCACUCAGAAGCAUUUCAUCGGAUAGUUUUAUACCGAUGAAUUGCAUCGACAUGAGAAUGCAGAUUCUGCAGCCAAUUGACACCCAGGAGGCAGACAAGUAAUCAUCCAAGGUUAGUGCCGUGUCAUCGCUCCAUGUAUCCAAUUCUCUCUUGAAAAUUGUUAGUAUUUGAACCCACUGCACUUGUAGCAAACAUAAAAAUUACUUACCAGGAAAACAAAUACUAUAAGAUGUUAUGCAAUCAUUUAAAGCAUCUUGUUAAUACAACGUACCAGCUUAAUUAGAAAAUCUUUAACACUACGUCCUUGUUCAACAUGAGCCCUCUCUGCCAACUCAUUUACUGUGUUGUAUACUGCUGUAAAAAGAAUUUCAACUUCCUCGGAACCAUAUUCUGCGGCUGGCUUCUCUUUCCAUCUGUUUUUUCACGUUUCGUAGGGACAAAGUUACUAGCUUAUUAUACAUGAAUAAAAAAGAAAAGAAAGCAAUGAACAGAUGAGUUUGUGGAAGGAAGUUUACUCUUUUAUUAAUUCAAGGAUCUUGUAGGACUCUUCUCUAGACCCACGAUGAUCGAAAAAAUCAUCAAUACGUGUCACAAGCACAAUAUGUUGGGCAAAGACUAUGCGAACAUCAGACAAUUCAGGAUCACCAAUAAUUGCUGAAGUUAGAAAAUUAGCAACACGCACUACAUCUCUUCCAUACUUCAAGGUGUCCAACUUACAAUCUGCAUACCACCUACAUGCAUUUUGGUUUAAUGUAUCAAGUAUGUUACUCCUUAUUUAGAUGAAGUUUUAUGGUUAAGCUAUCACAUUGUCAUACCUUUGCAGUUGCUGAAGUUCUUUCUGGUGUUGGGCUUGGCAAAUGUUAAAAUCUUGCCUCGCAAAUGCUAGAAAAUCUUCACUACGUAGAUUAGAGAACCUAAAACAAAGAAAAAAAACAUGUUUUUUGCUUAGUAUAGAUCGGCAGAAACAGUUUAUCAGAUAUGAGGCAGAUUCAACAUACUGAAUGCUACACUCUUUACCUAUUUGCAGCUUUUGCAGUUCGAUAAUAGCUUAUAUCAUAUAAGUCGAGGUUUUGUCUAACUCCCAUUCUAUCUAAUAUCCCAUGAUAGUUCUUCAAGUAGUAUUCCACCUUGACAUUUUUGUGAAAGAAAAAACUUGAUCAAUAUAAAAUUUAAUCUUGAAAAGGUGACUAUUUUAAGCUGAUUAAGAAAAACAUUAAUUAGUAAGCACCAGUUUGUGCAACUUCUUGUCAGGAAUGGAGUUAGUGAGCAACUUCUGCUUAAGAAAGGUGGUGGUCCAAGCAUGUAGUUUCUUAAGACUGCUCUCUUCUUCCCCUGUUCUCUCCUGUGCUGCUCUGUAAAGCUCGAUAACUGUCGCCACUUCAAUCGUUUGCAGGUCAACGUGCUCUUGAUCAGCAUACGGAGCCAGUUCCUCUAAACAACGACGAAAAAGGUUCGUUCACAUUUGUGCAUAUAUCUUAGAUUCUUGUACAUCUUAUGUAUAAUUUGAAUGGUGUUUCCACGUACCUGAUGAAACUUCAUAUCCCUUGACACGCAAAAGUCUAAAUGCCAUUGCAUGAAUAGCAGUAUCCGAAAAUAUCGCUCUCUCUUUCCGUUGCCAUAACCUGUUGAUCAUCGAAGCAGAUAUUCAAGCCUCGGCUUCUGAUUCUAUGCAUAAAAGCAAUGUGGAUCAUCUUUUUCAAUUUUGACAUACCUGUAUGUGCCCUCUAGAAUAGUGUCGAUUUCAGGUCGGAAGUAUCGGUCGACUCCCAACCUUUGGAGGGUGUCGAUUAUACAGAGAUUAGAGGGUAUAUCCGCCGCAGGCUGAACAGCCGCAGCUGCCGGAAAGUUACUGUCUUCCCCCUUGAACUUCUCUGCUAUCUUCCCCAUCAAAUCCUGCGAUAAGGGCAUUCAUUCAAAUCGAGUAUAUUUCAUCCGGUGUAGCAUCGGUGACAAGAUUUGGAGGUAUCAUACUUACUGUUGUAGUAAGGUUGCAUUUCACGGCGAAAGAUGACUUGUUGGUGAUCAUCGGAAAUCCUCGGACUGUAACAUGCUUCACCGGAAAAUUUUCUCUCCUGCUCCGAGCCCCGUUGCCGGAGAAAGCGGUGGCUGCCGGGUUGAAGGCGAGCGACAUCUUUAGCUCUGGGGCGGCGGCGGUGAUGCCAGGCUCUGUUUAUGUUGCUGGAUAUGUAUGAAUGGAGUAUCUGAAAAUGAGGAGGGAUUCUUGUAAGAGAUGACAACAAAAGGUUGACUGAAAUAUGCUACUGCAAUGAUGCAUUCAAAUUCAUGAUCAUAUAUAAUAACGGAUAUAAUGUAUUUUUUGCGUUAUUAUAUGAUUAUUUUCUGUCAUGUAGUUAAUAUAGUAUUUUACGAGAGGCGACGAUAUUGUAUACAAGUUGAAUAAAAUUAGUAUUCCCCAAAAAA
This is a long non-coding RNA of Salvia miltiorrhiza (redroot sage), 2903 nucleotides long. RefSeq lists it as uncharacterized. NCBI's taxonomy places the organism in Eukaryota, Viridiplantae, Streptophyta, Magnoliopsida, Lamiales, Lamiaceae. The transcript has 2 exons. The record is from RefSeq and is a predicted model, not a curated record.